GGAUGCGAUCAUACCAGCACUAAAGCACCGGAUCCCAUCAGAACUCCGAAGUUAAGUGUGCUUGGGCGAGAGUAGUACUAGGAUGGGUGACCUCUUGGGAAGUCCUCGUGUUGCAUUCC
RNAcentral lists this ribosomal RNA (119 nucleotides) under Triticum aestivum (bread wheat). Lineage: Eukaryota; Viridiplantae; Streptophyta; Magnoliopsida; Poales; Poaceae. The record is from RNAcentral.